This 2311-nucleotide unclassified non-coding RNA is filed under the name Venturia canescens. RNAcentral describes it as "synaptic vesicle glycoprotein 2C-like, transcript variant X4". The record is from RNAcentral. Lineage: Eukaryota; Metazoa; Arthropoda; Insecta; Hymenoptera; Ichneumonidae.
UAUACACGCGUUUAGGCUCUCUCGCAAGAGUCUCACGAAACAUACGAUCCCCAACCUCGAGAGACUCUUCGACUCUUUUGCCCGCAGACGGAAGCGUCCGACUUACCUGUCAGCUCGUGCCCCAUUGACUCUUCGACGAAAAUCAACGCCACACUGUUCACGAAUAAGCUAUCAGGAACACCACAAUUCGCCGAAAAGGCUGUAAAAAGCCGACGAGACAACAGUUUCCCUGAGAAUUCAGGGUUCGCGGACAUUAUGGUCAGCAGCAAAGAAAACUCGGUCGCUUCGUCGAUAUUCACUGUUCAGGAUAUCAACGGAGCGAAGGAAGUGGAAAAUCCAACGGACUUUGAAACAGCCAUCAAACUUUGCGGUUAUGGGAGGUUCCAUUACGGCUUUGUUUUUCUCUGUGGCAUGAUGUUUUUGUGCGUUGGUUGUCAAAAUGGCGUAAACGCUUACAUUCUACCGUCCGCCGAGUGCGACUUGAGGCUGUCAUCGGAGGAAAAAGGACUGUUGAACGUGGCUUUUCUCGUGGGCGGUGUAAUUAGCUCGGUAUUUUGGGGCGUUAUCGCCGACGCUUAUGGACGCAAAAAUAUUCUCGUUGGCACUUUGCUCGUCGAUGGACUGCUCACGCUCUUUGCGAGCUGUGCGCAGAAUUUCCAAGCUCUUCUCAUCUUCCGAGCUAUCAGUGGAUUCACGAUCGGUGCGCCAGGAUCGUUGGUUUACACUUACCUGGGAGAAUUUCACGCGGCAAAGCACCGAGUCAAAAGCAUUUGUUACGUUGGAUUUUUUUGGACGCUUUCGUGGCUCAUCCUGCCAGGACUCGCUUGGAUGAUAAUACCUUUGAGGAUAAAAUGGCAGUACGAAGGUUUCCUUUACAAUUCUUGGCGCUUGUAUUUCGCCGUUAUCGGACUACCGACUCUCGUCGUCGCUUUCGUUCUCAUGAAAUACCCUGAGAGCCCGAAAUUUUUACUCUCCCGAGGAAAAAGCAACGAAGCUCUCGACAUUCUUCGCUAUAUUUACGCCAGCAAUGCUCAACGCGACCAGAGCGUAUAUCCGGUUAAAUAUUUGUGUGCCUUGAACGAGAGCAAAGGACAGGAAAAGAAGAGCAAAGACAUCGACGUGAAAAAAAAUCGUUUCGGUGAUUCGUGCAGUGAUCGGCAUCGCGUCGGUGGAUUCGAAAAUAAUGGCAACAAACCAAGCCUCUUGUUGGAAUUACUCAGAAACGUUUAUCAGCAAAUUCGAGCUCUGGGGUCGCCGCCCUAUUUCAAAUGGGCGCUUCUAUGUUGGACCAUUUAUUUCAUGAACAUGUUUGGGUAUUACGGUUUGGGCCUCUGGUUCCCGGAACUUUUCAACCGGUUCGAAAGUUAUUACAAAAUCCACCCUAACGCAUCGGUGAGCGUUUGCGAGCUCGUAACGCGCCUAAACGAGAACGCUGAUAUUUGGGACAACUCGAGCAUCUCAGAAACGCUCGAUUGCGAUCGCAUAAGCAUCGAUCAGCGAGUUUUUAUCAACACUUUGACCAUCAACGGUGUUUGCCUUCUGGGCAACGUGGCUUCCGGCUACCUCGCUGAUCGCGUUGGACGACGCACGAUUCCAGUGACGACGAUGCUGGUUUCCGGAUUGGCGGGUUUCGCCAUUUACUUCGUUAAAUCUUCCUUCCAAAAUCUGAUCGUCGCUUGUGUAUAUUCACUCGCGAUAACAACGGCUAAUUUCGUCAUCGGAGGGGUCGUCGUCGACAUUUUCCCGACUCACAUUGGCGCCGUGGCGAUUUGCAUGAUGACCUUCUUCGGGAGAGUCGGUGCAAUCGCGAGCAAUCUCGCGUUCGGUAUGCUCCUCGACAUUAGCUGCGAAGUUCCUAUUUUUCUCGUCGGAGGAAUCGUCCUUCUCGGAGGUCUAUUGGCGCUGCUUUUACCACCGGCGAAGAGAUGAACGCCACGACAAAACGCGUAACAUAUCCAAAGAGAGGACGAAAGCGGAUCGUGAAUUAAAACCUUACUCGUGCGCCAUAAUGAUGUUCAACUGCACAAGAUUCUCAUCGAAACGAUUUUAUCAUGGAUUUGCAUUCGAGGAACAUUCAGUGAUAAUAAAACGAACGAGUGUCGUAGAUAAAAUCAAUAUUUAAGCUUUUUACUGAAAAGGAAUCGAAAGCCUACCCACAAAAUCGUUGCAGGAGUCUCCGGUCAAGAAAAAGUUUUACAAAAAUCAUUAAUUUCCAUCAUUCCACGUUCGAGGUCAUAAAUUGUCGAGAUCCGAUGGACGAAUGAAUUUAACUGAACAAAAUCGAAGUAAAUAGACAAAAGUAUUAUCCAAA